AUGAAAAACUCAACGGAAACAUUUUUUCACGAAGGCUUCGGAGAUAUAGAAGAUGAAGUUCGUUUUUGGUACGAUCUGCAAAACAUCAUCAGGCCUAUUGAUGUGUACUUGGAUUACUUCAACUUUUCAAUAUCAGUUGUUGGAGUCAUCGCAAACAUUUUUCACUUAAUAGUGCUUGGUAGAAAGUCUAUGAGAGCACUUACCGUGAAUACAUUCAUGAUGGGAAUUGCUAUUUGUGAGUUUGUGAGGAUGAUGUGCUACGUUAUCAUGAGAAUCCCAAAGUAUUAUCGAAAGUAUCAGAAGUUCAAAUUUGGGCGAUUUUGUGUUCCACCAGACUCGUACCUCACAAUAUGCAUUGUAAAUAAUUCUUCAAUUUUAUUCAAUUCCAUUCAGGAUCCCCUCAUUUCAAUAGCUGUCGCCAUGGCAGUUCUACGAACUGUUUCUCUAAAAUAUCCGAUGAGUAGCAAAAUUGGGUUCAAGAAAUACUUACUGAAAUACUUGUUAGCAUAACUUUUCGCCAAACAAGACUAAAAAUUCAAAUAUCUGUACGCACGCAAAAACUUGCGCAUAACUUAAGCCUAACUAAGCUCAAGUCUAAGGUUAAGCCUAAAGCCUAAUAUGGCAUCAGAAUACUAUUGAUAAUACGUGGUAUUACAAUUCCAUUCUGGGCACUUGAUUUUUCUCAAACACAAGUCACCGUGGAGUCUGACCCCUGGAGAUUGCCAGACGACUGUAAACAUUUUGCUGAAGGUCGAUUUUAUUUUUCAACUACCACUUCUCUACAAAAUCAGGGAUUUUUCUUCCGAUAGCAACAUUAAUUUUGAUUCAUGACAUUAAAAUGAGGAAUAAGGUGUCAUCCGUGGGAAGUAGUGCUUCAAACGAUCGUUCAACAAAUUUGGUUGUUUUUAUGACAAUUUCAUUUAUCAUUGCACUUGCCCCACAGGGAGUACUAUACCUUAUCAAAUUUACAUAUAAAAAUGAUGAAGGAGUUGUAAGUACUAUUGAAACACUUAACAAUUUUCAUGCGUUUGUACCACUUGCCAACGGAACUAUUCAUAUUAUUAUUAACUUUUUUAUUUCAUCCAUGUAUCGGAGAACUGUCAAUGAGCUGUUGGGCUUGAAAACUGAGCAUUUUGUGGCUCAUUCUGUGAUUCAACCAACAAUUAUUUAA
This is an RNA transcript of Caenorhabditis elegans, 1171 nucleotides long. It is a transcript of the gene named Non-coding transcript of protein-coding gene srw-54, with no coding region annotated. The record is from RefSeq and is marked reviewed. The transcript is spliced from 5 exons. NCBI's taxonomy places the organism in Eukaryota, Metazoa, Nematoda, Chromadorea, Rhabditida, Rhabditidae.